RNAcentral lists this long non-coding RNA (1098 nucleotides) under Piliocolobus tephrosceles (Ugandan red Colobus). RNAcentral's name for it is "lncRNA (ENSPTEG00000001542.1)". Lineage: Eukaryota; Metazoa; Chordata; Mammalia; Primates; Cercopithecidae. The record is from RNAcentral.
UAAGAGCUGACAUAAGAGCUGACACAGGAGCUGACAUAGGAGCUGACACAGGAGCUGACAUAGGAGCUGACACAGGAGCUGACAUAGGAGCUGACACAGGAGCUGACAUAAGAGCUGACACAGGAGCUGACAUAGGAGCUGACAUAGGAGCCGACACGGGAGCUGACAUAGGAGCCGACACAGGAGCUGACAUAGGAGCCGACACAGGAGCUGACAUAGAUGCCGUUAGUAACAAUAUGCAGCUGCAUUCAUCCUUUUUAAAUGUUUUUACAAAAUUUUUUGUCCAAUUUGAGUAUAACAAAAAUGAAUAUAAAAAAGUUCUGAGUAGUUUAAUAAGCUUAUUCGAAAAGGACUUGAUUAUAAUGCUUAAAUUGUUUGUAUGUGAUAGUGGUAGUAGUAGCAGCAACCGUAACAUUUAUAGAACCACAAAUAACAUAAAUUGUAAGGUUGAAUGCUCUAAUGGUAUAAGUUAUAUUAGUCUUAUUAAUUUAUUAAAGUUGAGCAGAAAAGAAAAACUAACACCUAACAUAGCAUUUAACAUUCCACCUUGUGAAUAUAACAAUUCGAAUAAAUUUCAACAUACUUAUGUAUUAUCUAAAUUGUAUAAACAUGAUAACAUUAAUAAAAAUAUAAAAUAUCUUGUUAAUAUUUUAAAUUCUACUUAUAAAAUAAUAAAACAUAUAACUAAUACAUUUCAUAUAAAUGAGUUUAGUCCAAAAUUUAAUAAAACAUUAUUAUAUAAUUUUAUUAAUAAAAUGGUAUAUAGCAAUAACAAUAAUAAUGAUAGUGGUGAUGAUAAGAAAAAGCAUACAAAUGCAGUACCUACAAAAUACGACUUACCACCGUAUAUACAAAAAAUAAAUAAUUAUAUAAAAAAUAUGUGCUUAUUAGAUAAUUAUAAAAACAACGUAAAUGUAAAUAUAAACAAUUUUUUUAUUUGUAAUUAUGUGCUUCAUUUUUUUGUAUGUGAUUUUAUUAAUGAAUACUUUAAACAAAUCGCAAAACGGUUAUAUUGUUAUGAGCAAUCUGGUAUUGCGACUACUGUGACUGACAUUACCAAUAACAUUGGGGAGAAUGAUAGAUACUUUUUUUCGCAAC